UUUAGUUGAUACAGCCCUAAGUUCUACGUUCAACAGUAUCUCUCUGGUUUCUUUGUCUCUCUCAACGAGGAGAUACGCCUCACGCUGGAUCUCACCAGGCCGUGACUGGCGCUGUCAUCGAUCGGCGAUGGCCCACGCUGCUCCCAACAUCUUCUGCAUCCCCGCGUACUGACUUACCGGCGAGUGGACACUGCAAAUUGAUUCACAUAAAUGGCGCUAACAUUUCGCCUAAUAGCCAAUCGCACGUGGCUCUUCUUGUUUCAGCCAAAUCCCUUCCAACCCGUUUUUAUUUCCUAAUAUUUCCCAUAUUUCUUUCAUCCGCCGGUUUAGCUAUAUUCUGGUACUCCUAAACCCUAGCCUGACAACACGGCUUUGGAUUUUCUUUCAUGGCUAGUUAUUAGCUUCUCUUCUCCAAAGUGCUUUAUCUAUUCAAAGAACUUUAUGGAAUACCUCUUGAAGGAAGUCAGCAAUGUUCUUUCUAUCGGGACAUUUAAAUCCCAUGUACUCAAAAAACUCAAGUGGUGGAGCUAUCCAGACCAGUUGAUAUGUCAUCCAUGAAGAAACUUCUCGCAAGACUGAUUAGCAUUUCUCCUGCAAAAUUUCACAUAUUUCGCUUAAGCAAAAUGAGAACUUGGACGUAGUAAUUCCGUCAGCUCCUGUUCAUGCAUUGUGUGUUAGAAGCAGAUUUAAAGAACAAUCCCUGGUAAAUUACAUGACUAACAGUCUUCAAAGUUUCAAUGUAGAUGUUAGCCCAGCAAAUAAAAUCUUUACAAAUCUGGUUUGAGAUUAAAUUGAAUCGAGUAAAGAUUACAAAUUGUAGACAUUAGAUUAUUUUAAAGGUGUAAAUCAUAAUCGUUUUCUCUAUGUUUGUUUAUCGGACGUCUUACUGAUAUGAAAAAUGAAAGGAAGAAAAUUUUUUUGGGGGAGAUGAA
Molecule: long non-coding RNA, 932 nt
Organism: Dendrobium catenatum
Lineage: Eukaryota; Viridiplantae; Streptophyta; Magnoliopsida; Asparagales; Orchidaceae
Exons: 4
Source: RefSeq, a predicted model, not a curated record